Molecule: ribosomal RNA, 684 nt
Filed under: uncultured bacterium
Lineage: Bacteria
Description: bacterial SSU rRNA
Rfam family: Bacterial small subunit ribosomal RNA
Source: RNAcentral
CGAAAGCGUGGGAGCAAACAGGAUUAGAUACCCUGGUAGUCCACGCUGUAAACGAUGUCUACUAGCCGUCGGGGUCCUUAGUGACUUUGGUGGCGCAGCUAACGCGAUAAGUAGACCGCCUGGGGAGUACGGCCGCAAGGUUAAAACUCAAAUGAAUUGACGGGGGCCCGCACAAGCGGUGGAGCAUGUGGUUUAAUUCGAUGCAACGCGAAGAACCUUACCAGGUCUUGACAUCCUCGGAACUUGGCAGAGAUGCCUUGGUGCCUUCGGGAGCCGAGUGACAGGUGCUGCAUGGCCGUCGUCAGCUCGUGUCGUGAGAUGUUGGGUUAAGUCCCGUAACGAGCGCAACCCUUGUCCUUAGUUGCCAGCACGUCAUGGUGGGAACUCUAGGGAGACUGCCGGUGACAAACCGGAGGAAGGUGGGGACGACGUCAGGUCAUCAUGGCCCUUACGACCUGGGCUACACACGUGCUACAAUGGCUGGUACAGAGGGUUGCGAAGUCGCGAGGCGAAGCUAAUCCCUUAAAGCCAGUCGUAGUCCGGAUCGGAGUCUGCAACUCGACUCCGUGAAGUCGGAAUCGCUAGUAAUCGCGGAUCAGAAUGCCGCGGUGAAUACGUUCCCGGGCCUUGUACACACCGCCCGUCACACCAUGGGAGUGGAUUGCACCAGAAGUGGCUAGUCUA